RNAcentral lists this ribosomal RNA (500 nucleotides) under uncultured bacterium. Its description in RNAcentral is "partial 16S ribosomal RNA". It matches the Rfam family "Bacterial small subunit ribosomal RNA", at positions 30 to 523 of the family's 1533-position model. The record is from RNAcentral.
AUUGAACGCUGGCGGAAUGCUUUACACAUGCAAGUCGAACGGCAGCACGGACUUCGGUCUGGUGGCGAGUGGCGAACGGGUGAGUAAUGUAUCGGAACGUGCCCAGUCGUGGGGGAUAACGUAGUGAAAAUUACGCUAAUACCGCAUACGAUCUAUGGAUGAAAGCGGGGGAUCGCAAGACCUCGCGCGAUUGGAGCGGCCGAUAUCAGAUGAGGUAGUUGGUGGGGUAAAGGCCCACCCAGCCAACGAUCUGUAGCUGGUCUGAGAGGACGGCCAGCCACACUGGAACUGAGAGACGGUCCAGACUCGUACGGGAGGCAGCAGUGGGGAAUUUUGGACAAUGGGCGAAAGCCUGAUCCAGCCAUUCCGCGUGCAGGAUGAAGGCCCUCGGGUUGUAAACUGCUUUUGUACAGAACGAAAAGGUUUCUACUAAUACUAGGAGCUCAUGACGGUACUGUAAGAAUAAGCACCGGCUAACUACGUGCCAGCCGCCGCAGUAA